RNAcentral lists this transfer RNA (72 nucleotides) under Phrynosoma platyrhinos (Desert horned lizard). RNAcentral's name for it is "tRNA-OTHER". Lineage: Eukaryota; Metazoa; Chordata; Lepidosauria; Squamata; Phrynosomatidae. The record is from RNAcentral.
GCCAGCAUAGUGUAAUGGUUUGAGUGUUGGACUAUGACUCUGAAGACCAAGGUUUGACUCCCUGUUUGGACA